Molecule: long non-coding RNA, 475 nt
Filed under: Salmo salar (Atlantic salmon)
Lineage: Eukaryota; Metazoa; Chordata; Actinopteri; Salmoniformes; Salmonidae
Description: lncRNA (ENSSSAG00000095508.1)
Source: RNAcentral
CAGAAACAAAGACAAAACAAAUGGAAAAUGAAAAGUGGAUCGGCGAUGGCUAGUAGAGCGGCGACGCCGACCGUCGAGCGCCGCCCGAACAAGGAGAGGAACCGACUUCGGCUGAAGUCGUGACAAAUGUGCUCUGAAGGAGGACUAAAUUGUCUUUUUAAAUACAGACAAAGAUGUUAACAUCAUGAGAGAAGAAAUAGCAGUCACUCUCCUCCAAAACACUGAUGACCUGAGCCAAAUGUGCCACUUUUGUGGGGAGGUGGACAAUAAUGAGGAAGACUGGAUUGGUUGUGACCGCUGCCCAGGAUGGUUCCACCAGUCCUGUAUGAAAACCAUCCCAUCAUUGGAGGAUUAUGUCUGCGCUGCCUGUCAGGACUAGGUUAGGCUUGAGUUCCAGGCGACGGUAUCACCUGGAAAACUUUCCAUAAAAAGUGGACUAAAUGUUCAGUCAAGCUGUUGUCGCUUUCCAAUAUUU